CCUAGGAGCGAUGCGUCCGUACGCGGUCACGGAUCUGCACGCCCUACGCCCUCCCUAGCCUGUUACCAACGGAGGCAGGAUAUUACUGGAUGUGUCAGAUGCUUGUUAAAGUAUUACAUUCAUGGUGCAACAAGUGAGAUCUGGUGAACAUUCAUGUGGCACUUGCAAAGCUCCAUUGGGACGAACUUCCUUACCAACCAGAUGAGUAUUCGAUUUCAUAUCUUUGAUACUAUCUUCAAGGGGGAAGUGCACGUGGAAGUUGAACAAAGGUGUUCUUACAGUUACUCUUUUGCU
Molecule: long non-coding RNA, 294 nt
Organism: Triticum dicoccoides
Lineage: Eukaryota; Viridiplantae; Streptophyta; Magnoliopsida; Poales; Poaceae
Exons: 3
Source: RefSeq, a predicted model, not a curated record